This 69-nucleotide transfer RNA is filed under the name Harpiocephalus harpia (hairy-winged bat). Its description in RNAcentral is "tRNA-Thr". Lineage: Eukaryota; Metazoa; Chordata; Mammalia; Chiroptera; Vespertilionidae. The record is from RNAcentral.
GUCUAUGUAGUAUAUAUUUAUUACACUGAUCUUGUAAAUCAGAAAAGAGAAAUUAUUUCCCCAAAGACU